UGAGGAAUAUUGGUCAAUGGGCGGGAGCCUGAACCAGCCAAGCCGCGUGAGGGAAGAAGGCCUUAUGGGUCGUAAACCUCUUUUAUCAGGGAACAAAAGCGAGUAUGUAUACUAGUCUGAGUGUACCUGAAGAAAAAGCAUCGGCUAACUCCGUGCCAGCAGCCGCGGUAAUACGGAGGAUGCGAGCGUUAUCCGGAUUUAUUGGGUUUAAAGGGUGCGUAGGCGGCGAUGCAAGUCAGCGGUAAAAGCCCGGGGCUCAACCCCGGCGAGCCGUUGAAACUGCAGUGCUAGAGAAGGCGAGAGGUACGCGGAAUGCGCAGUGUAGCGGUGAAAUGCUUAGAUAUUGCGCAGAACUCCGAUUGCGAAGGCAGCGUACUGGCGCCUGACUGACGCUGAGGCUCGAAAGCGUGGGGAGCAAACAGGAUUAGAUACCC
This 434-nucleotide ribosomal RNA is filed under the name uncultured bacterium. RNAcentral's name for it is "bacterial SSU rRNA". It matches the Rfam family "Bacterial small subunit ribosomal RNA", at positions 355 to 787 of the family's 1533-position model. The record is from RNAcentral.